AUCAGAUAACUUUAUUCUUAAUGUUGGUCUCUUAGUUUGAGGAGGAGAGGCUGUAGUUUGGUGGUAGAGUAACUGCUUUGUAUGCAGAAGGCUCCAGGGGUAGGCUUGGGAGAAGGAAAAAAUCCUAGUGAACUCCUGCCAGUCAGUAUAGAAUAGAUGGACUAAAUGGCAUCGUUCAAUAUAAGAUUUCAAGAUCACAUACAGUCUGUCCAAAGAACAUGGAGUGCCAUAGAAGACUAUAUAUUUGUAAAACACUUUGGGAACUCUGAAGAUAAUACACUGUGGAUGUGUGGCUGACUGUGACCAGGGGAAGUGGGCAACCUUAGAUGGUGAAGAAGACCAGCACUUUGCGAGGGUGGUGGAAGAGAAGAUCAAGCCAGAAAAGGGAAGAAAAAAGAAAGCAGGCCUGGCAGUUUGAAUUGGGAGAAGAGGGCAAUUUGGGAAGAAACCUGGGAGAGCAAGAGUUUGGCUGCACCUUGUUCUCUGGGAAACUGAUGCAGGAUUAACAGCAAUGCUACCUUCUAAAAGAGUGUAUUU
This is a long non-coding RNA of Hemicordylus capensis (graceful crag lizard), 537 nucleotides long. RefSeq lists it as uncharacterized. NCBI's taxonomy places the organism in Eukaryota, Metazoa, Chordata, Lepidosauria, Squamata, Cordylidae. The transcript is spliced from 3 exons. The record is from RefSeq and is a predicted model, not a curated record.